AACGCUAGCUACAGGCUUAACACAUGCAAGUCGAGGGGCAGCAUGAACUUAGCUUGCUAAGUUUGAUGGCGACCGGCGCACGGGUGAGUAACGCGUACCCAACCUUCCGUACACUCAGGAAUAGCCUUUCGAAAGAAAGAUUAAUACCUGAUGGUAUGAUGAGAUUGCAUGAAAUCAUCAUUAAAGAUUCAUCGGUGUACGAUGGGGAUGCGUUCCAUUAGAUAGUAGGCGGGGUAACGGCCCACCUAGUCGACGAUGGAUAGGGGUUCUGAGAGGAAGGUCCCCCACAUUGGAACUGAGACACGGUCCAAACUCCUACGGGAGGCAGCAGUGAGGAAUAUUGGUCAAUGGGCGCGAGCCUGAACCAGCCAAGUAGCGUGAAGGAUGAAGGUCCUACGGAUUGUAAACUUCUUUUAUAAGGGAAUAAAGUCACCCACGUGUGGGUGUUUGUAUGUACCUUAUGAAUAAGCAUCGGCUAACUCCGUGCCAGCAGCCGCGGUAAUACGGAGGAUGCGAGCGUUAUCCGGAUUUAUUGGGUUUAAAGGGAGCGUAGACGGGUCGUUAAGUCAGCUGUGAAAGUUUGAGGCUCAACCUUAAAAUUGCAGUUGAUACUGGCGUCCUUGAGUACGGUUGAGGCAGGCGGAAUUCGUGGUGUAGCGGUGAAAUGCUUAGAUAUCACGAAGAACUCCGAUUG
This 694-nucleotide ribosomal RNA is filed under the name uncultured bacterium. Its description in RNAcentral is "bacterial SSU rRNA". It matches the Rfam family "Bacterial small subunit ribosomal RNA", at positions 32 to 715 of the family's 1533-position model. The record is from RNAcentral.